GAGGGCAGUGUGCGGCUUCCCAGCCCAGGGUUGGGAAUAGCUGGUGUUGUGCAAUGCAAGACGCCCGUGAGGUGAAUCGUUUGGAAAAACAAAGGCUUAAUAAGGAAAUGCCACAUGAAGAUGAUCUCACCAUUACUCUCAAGAAUGAAAAAUCCCAAGGAGGCAUAUGACUGAUGUCCAACUCUGGGCCAGAACUUCGGAAGUGGCUCAAAGUCUUCCUGAUCUGGCAUACUUCAUCCCUAGUGACUUCCCAGGCCUAGACUCAACUCCAGCAAAACGAGGGCAUUGCUGUUUUCUGUCGCUGUGCCUACAGCCGUCCCUGAUCCAAGCAGAACAGGUAGGUGUUUCCGCUGAGAUGAACCCUGUCGAGUCUACAGCUGAGCAUCUGCCACACAACAGAGGCCGAGGCACUUGGACUGCCACCCUCAUCUUCAUCAUCCUCAUUAACUCAUCAUCCUGUGUCUGGAUUUGGAGAAAUCCCAGUUUGUGAAAACCACGUCAGAAACCAUCAAUUUUCGCGAUCAUUCU
Myodes glareolus (Bank vole) is the source of this 528-nucleotide non-coding RNA. The record is from RefSeq and is a predicted model, not a curated record. Lineage: Eukaryota; Metazoa; Chordata; Mammalia; Rodentia; Cricetidae.